Molecule: ribosomal RNA, 378 nt
Filed under: uncultured bacterium
Lineage: Bacteria
Description: bacterial SSU rRNA
Rfam family: Bacterial small subunit ribosomal RNA
Source: RNAcentral
GAUGAACGCUAGCGGCAUGCUUUACACAUGCAAGUCGAACGGUAACAGGUCUUCGGAUGCUGACGAGUGGCGAACGGGUGAGUAAUGUAUCGGAACGUGCCCAGUAGUGGGGGAUAACUACUCGAAAGAGUGGCUAAUACCGCAUAUUCUGUGAGCAGGAAAGCAGGGGAUCGCAAGACCUUGCGCUGAUUGAGCGGCCGAUAUCAGAUUAGCUAGUUGGUGAGGUAAAGGCUCACCAAGGCGACGAUCUGUAGCGGGUCUGAGAGGAUGAUCCGCCACACUGGAACUGAGACACGGUCCAGACUCCUACGGGAAGCAGCAGUGGGGAAUUUUGGACAAUGGGCGCAAGCCUGAUCCAGCCAUGCCGCGUGAGUGAAG